GACGAACGCUGGCGGCGCGCCUAACACAUGCAAGUCGAACGAGCGAGAGAGAGCUUGCUUUCUCGAGCGAGUGGCGAACGGGUGAGUAACGCGUGAGGAACCUGCCUCAAAGAGGGGGACAACAGUUGGAAACGACUGCUAAUACCGCAUAAGCCCACGGGUCGGCAUCGACCAGAGGGAAAAGGAGCAAUCCGCUUUGAGAUGGCCUCGCGUCCGAUUAGCUAGUUGGUGAGGUAACGGCCCACCAAGGCAACGAUCGGUAGCCGGACUGAGAGGUUGAACGGCCACAUUGGGACUGAGACACGGCCCAGACUCCUACGGGAGGCAGCAGUGGGGAAUAUUGCACAAUGGGGGAAACCCUGAUGCAGCGACGCCGCGUGGAGGAAGAAGGUCUUCGGAUUGUAAACUCCUGUUGUUGAGGAAGAUAAUGACGGUACUCAACAAGGAAGUGACGGC
Molecule: ribosomal RNA, 456 nt
Filed under: uncultured bacterium
Lineage: Bacteria
Description: bacterial SSU rRNA
Rfam family: Bacterial small subunit ribosomal RNA
Source: RNAcentral